AAAAUAUUUAAUAAAAUUGGGAAACGCAUCGUUGUUAUACCACGGCGAACACCGCAUCUUUAUCUCUCUCCCGUAACUACUCUUUCACACCCCCACAUCCUCCUCCAUCUUCAAUCGGCCGAUCGCUCUGGAACGUUGCCGCUCUAUCUCCGCCGUAACCGCCAAUUAGCUUAACCUCCCGUUGCCGCUCUAUCUUCGCUGUCACCGCCGAUUAGCUUAACCUACCGAUUAGAUCAGAAUUCAAAGAAGAGGAGUGGUGUUGGAAACAUCAGACAGAAGGCGGCAAAGGUUACAUCUUCAUCUUCUUCGUGUGUAUGUAUGUUUAGAAGGAAUUGGGUGUCAGUUGUGCCGUUAUUAGCGCUUCCUAAAGGCGAACGACGAGUGGUUAUUCAAGACAAUAAAACGAUAUUGUUGUCUAUCUAAAAAGUGUUAUAGCAUUAUGUGGGACAUUCAAGGAGAUCUUAAUGGAUCAAAGCAAACGUUCAGGAAUUGAGACAAAAAGAUGUUAGAUGAGAAGGAGCACUUAGUAUGGGAGAAGGAGCGCUUAGUACGAGAGAGGAAUUGGGAUCUCCUUGAAGUCGAUCCAAACUAUCGAAAUUGUUGUUUGUAAUGGUAAAGAUGGAUAUAUUUAUCUUAAGGACUGUCUCGUAUCCCAGUCAGCUUCAUGUCUAAAAUCACUGUUUUUUUUUUUGUUUUUUGUUAAUGAUUUUGCCUCAAUGUAUACUCGAAUUAAUGGCUUAGAUUAUUGGCUAGACACAAAGUUAUCA
Molecule: long non-coding RNA, 767 nt
Organism: Camelina sativa (false flax)
Lineage: Eukaryota; Viridiplantae; Streptophyta; Magnoliopsida; Brassicales; Brassicaceae
Source: RefSeq, a predicted model, not a curated record